GGGAGUGGGAGUAUCUUAUUUGGUUAUCUCUGUCUAUGUAAGAUUGUGUAGGCCUUCCUGAGCAUUUUACAUCAUCUUCCAGACCCAAGAUCCUGAUGGCCACUUUCACAACUACCCUAUGUCACUUUUCAGUACUUUUGAGUUCUUCACCAAGACGAACAGACCUCCCAACAGUGAAAUAGACCUACCCCUUAUGUAUGACAUCAGAUAUUCAACCUUUACUGUUACUGCCACUCUCCUUACGCUCCGCUUGCUCAUUGCUGUGGUGGAUGCCACCCUGUGGAGAGUGGCUCAUGAACAGGGUAAUGUUUGGAGAAUGCAGUUAAGAAAACUCUUCAGAUACAUAAUUCCCUCUUGUGAAUUGUGAAGAAUAUGUUGGAAAGGACAGACUGCUUUCCAGGUUUGGAAGAGACAGAGCUGGGGUCUCAGACACAUAUGCGGCCAAUUCAGUUCAGAAGAGUUGUGGUUUUUCUUCUGGAGGAAGAACAGAACGCUUACGAGCAGAGGACAGUCCAUGAACUGACAUAUUUCUGCUUAUCUAGUCAUCUAGGAGACUGUGCAGCAACUGAUAACACAAAGACAAGGAUGGCAGAUGUCUAGGUGGAUCCCACUGCUUUCCCUCCUGAUUCUCAUUCCUACUUUUUGAGGGUGCUCAUAUAUUGUAGGAGAUCCCAGUUGAUGUCUGUUGGAACAGAAGGAUUACCUUUCCUUCAUGCUUGCAGAGUUGAGGAUUGACAUGAUGACAAAUCACACAAGAUAUACUACAACACAACAGCCCUUGCACCCCAAGUUACAGGGGAAAAAUAGAUGAUGCCCUGAGAAUAUAUAGAGGGACUUCUUACAGAAGACAGUCACCCUU
Long non-coding RNA from Numida meleagris (helmeted guineafowl), 859 nucleotides. RefSeq lists it as uncharacterized. The record is from RefSeq and is a predicted model, not a curated record. NCBI's taxonomy places the organism in Eukaryota, Metazoa, Chordata, Aves, Galliformes, Numididae. The transcript is spliced from 5 exons.